Long non-coding RNA from Oncorhynchus tshawytscha (Chinook salmon), 2537 nucleotides. The record is from Ensembl. Lineage: Eukaryota; Metazoa; Chordata; Actinopteri; Salmoniformes; Salmonidae.
GGUGAAGGUAUUGGUAUUAUUAAAUGCCUGUGAAUGAGGUGAAGGUAUUGUUGUUAUUAAAUGCCUGUGAAUGAGGUGAAGAUAUUGGUAUUAUUAAAUGCCUGUGAAUGAGGUGAAGGUAUUGGUAUUAUUAAAUGCCUGUGAAUGAGGUGAAGGUAUUGGUGUUAUUAAAUGCCUGUGAAUGAGGUGGAGGUAUUGGUAUUAUUAAAUGCCUGUGAAUGAGCUGAAGGUAUUGGUGUUAUUAAAUGCCUGUGAAUGAGGUGAAGGUAUUGGUAUUACUAAAUGCCUGUGAAUGAGGUGAAGGUAUUGGUGUUAUUAAAUGCCUGUGAAUGAGGUGAAGAUAUUGGUAUUAUUAAAUGCCUGUGAAUGAGGUGAAUGUAUUGGUGUUAUUAAAUGCCUGUGAAUGAGGUGAAGGUAUUGGUGUUAUUAAAUGCCUGUGAAUGAGGUGAAGGUAUUGGUGUUAUUAAAUGCCUGGGAAUGAGGUGAAGGUAUUGGUGUUAUUAAAUGCCUGUGAAUGAGGUGAAGGUAUUGGUGUUAUUAAAUGCCUGGGAAUGAGGUGAAGGUAUUGGUGUUAUUAAAUGCCUGUGAAUGAGGUGAAGGUAUUGGUGUUAUUAAAUGACUGGGAAUGAGGUGAAGGUAUUGGUAUAACGUUUUUAUGAAGUGAUGAACCAGCUUUGAUUUUCAAUGUUUUUGCUUGUUUUUUCCCUACAACCUCUCUUUCUUCAGUAAGUUGCUUUCCUCUUUCUCUCUCUCUCUCUUUCUUUCUUUCUCUCUUUCUUUCUUUCUCUCUUUCUUUCUUUCUUUCUGUUGUUGUAUGUGCCUCAGUACAUGCGCUUGAUUACGUGUGUGUGUGUGUGUGUGUGUGUGUGUGUGUGUGUGUGUGUGUGUGUGUGUGUGUGUGUGUGUGUGUGUGUGUGUGUGUGUGUGUGUGUGUGUGUGUGUGUGUGUGUGUGUGUGUGUGUGUGUGUGUGUGUGUGUGGAAAAGAAAGCGCUAAAGAGAGAACUGUUGACUGAUGUUCUGUAUUGUAGUGCUGUAUGUAAAUAACUUACCUCCCUCUAGCAGACUUUUAAUAAAAGUGUACAAGAUGGCUGAAAGUACAAACCUUUUGGGUGACAUCUUUGAUUUGAAGGUUCCCUGCUAAAAAAAAUGUUUUUUCAAUGAUAGGCCACAUAUGUGCAAGCUUGUAAUUUGUUGAAAGAGUGCACACCUUUUUUUAGCAGGGAACCUUCAAAUCAAAGAUGCACACCUAAAGUAGUACUAUUUUUACAGCAAGUUGAUGAAUUUCCUUUCACUUUAAUUUGGUAAAAGACCGGCAUACACACUUGUUUUUGUUACACAACUAAUGGUAAUGACAUGAGUGGCUAUUACAUAAGCACAACAUCAUGACUCUCUACUACAUUUUUACAAGUUAUAAUUUGUCUUCUUUGGCAACCCUUUAUUUCACGUGUUUCCAAGAGAAAAUUAUAACACAACCAUUUCUAGAACUGUACAGAUUGUGAAAAUGUAUAUAUGACUAAACAUUUCAGUCACUCUUUAAUUUUUGUAUGGGAAGAAAUGACAUGUGUUAAAGAAUAAUAAAAAAUUUGAUUAAAUAUUUAAUAAUAUUUAAAAAGAGGAUAAUUAAACACAGUCGAUGUGAAAAUAAGUGCUAAGAAAUAUUCUUCUUCUGUCUCUUUGUACAAAACAAAGUGUUGAGUAUUAAUAAAAAACAUGAAAUCAUGUCAUUUGUGAAAUUCCUAUGUUUUCUUAUUUUUCCCCUCUAAACAGAUUUCAACAUUCAUUCAUGGUCUCUCAUUUGUCUAUAUAUUGUAUAUAUAUAUAUUGGAAUUAUCUGGCUCGAAGGACCAAUACCUUAAAGGGUCAUUCAGCAGUUAAAACAAUAGAAAAGUGUCCUCCCCACCCCUGUUUUGUUUUUUAGAUUAUUUUAUAAUGGGACUGGAGAAUUGUAACCACUUUCAACUUCCUAGACAGAGCUAUGGAUGGAUGCAAGGACUUACCAGCCAUGAUAUCAAUAUUAUAGUUGUAACCAUGUUUUGACUCUAUAUAGUGUUUGUUUAAAUUGAAUUAGUUUACAAACAUUGGAGUAAAACAAGCUUAUAUUUUGGCUUCUGGUGGGGUACAACAGCUCAUGAGGCAUUUAUGACUUAUGUUCUUCAAGAAUCAAUGGGUACAUAUCAAGUCCAAAAAAUGUAUGUAUUAACUGCAGAUUGCCCCUUUAAAGGUGCAGGGCCUUUCCAAAGUGUUCUCAGAUUCAUCUGUCAUUUAAAUGGCCAGUGUCACUCCUCCUCUUUAAUCCUGUUGCUGUAUUGUCACUUUCAUCCAGGACACCUGUCCAUCCUCCCGUUCCGCUCAACCCCUUUCAUCUUGUCUCUCCGUAGCCCUCUCCUUUUUCCGCACUUGCGUAUCUUUCUGGACCAGGACAGACGGAGAGGGAGGUGACGAAUGACACACUGAUAAAAAGUGAACCAGUAGGAUAUUGUAUACAGAAUUUGAAAGACUCCAAAUCCUCCUCCUGAGACUCUCUCUCUGCCUCUCU